AUGCCGCGUGUGUGAAGAAGGCCUUCGGGUUGUAAAGCACUUUUGUCCGGAAAGAAAUCGCCCUGGUUAAUACCUGGGGUGGAUGACGGUACUGGAAGAAUAAGCACCGGCUAACUACGUGCCAGCAGCCGCGGUAAUACGUAGGGUGCGAGCGUUAAUCGGAAUUACUGGGCGUAAAGCGUGCGCAGGCGGUUGUGCAAGACAGAUGUGAAAUCCCCGGGCUUAACCUGGGAAUGGCAUUUGUGACUGCACGGCUAGAGUGUGUCAGAGGGAGGUAGAAUUCCACGUGUAGCAGUGAAAUGCGUAGAUAUGUGGAGGAAUACCGAUGGCGAAGGCAGCCUCCUGGGAUAACACUGACGCUCAUGCACGAAAGCGUGGGGAGCAAACAGGAUUAGAUACCCUGGUAGUCCACGCCCUAAACGAUGUCAACUAGUUGUCGGGGAUUAAUUUCCUUGGUAACGCAGCUAACGCGUGAAGUUGACCGCCUGGGGAGUACGGUCGCAAGAUUAAAACUCAAAGGAAUU
Molecule: ribosomal RNA, 524 nt
Filed under: Noviherbaspirillum denitrificans
Lineage: Bacteria; Pseudomonadati; Pseudomonadota; Betaproteobacteria; Burkholderiales; Oxalobacteraceae
Description: bacterial SSU rRNA
Rfam family: Bacterial small subunit ribosomal RNA
Source: RNAcentral